CCAGACUCCUACGGGAGGCAGCAGUGGGGAAUAUUGCACAAUGGGGGAAACCCUGAUGCAGCAACGCCGCGUGAAGGAAGACGGUUUUCGGAUUGUAAACUUCUAUCAAUAGGGAAGAAAGAAAUGACGGUACCUGAUUAAGAAGCCCCGGCUAACUACGUGCCAGCAGCCGCGGUAAUACGUAGGGGGCAAGCGUUAUCCGGAUUUACUGGGUGUAAAGGGAGCGCAGGCGGCGUGGCAAGUCAGAUGUGAAAACCCGGGGCCCAACCCCGGGAGUGCAUUUGAAACUGCCAUGCUGGAGUGCCGGAGAGGUAAGCGGAAUUCCUAGUGUAGCGGUGAAAUGCGUAGAUAUUAGGAGGAACACCAGUGGCGGAGGCGGCUUACUGGACGGUAACUGACGCUGAUGCUCGAAAGCGUGGGGAGCAAACAGGAUUAGAUACCCCGGUA
Molecule: ribosomal RNA, 447 nt
Filed under: uncultured bacterium
Lineage: Bacteria
Description: bacterial SSU rRNA
Rfam family: Bacterial small subunit ribosomal RNA
Source: RNAcentral